CGUAGGUGGCUGUUCAAGUCUGCGGUCAAAGGUCGAGGCUCAACCUCGAACAGGCCGUGGAAACUGAAAAGCUAGAGUGUGGUAAGGGCAGAGGGAAUUCCCAGUGUAGCGGUGAAAUGCGUAGAGAUUGGGAAGAACACCGGUGGCGAAAGCGCUCUGCUAGGCCAAAACUGACACUGAGGGACGAAAGCAAGGG
Molecule: ribosomal RNA, 196 nt
Filed under: uncultured bacterium
Lineage: Bacteria
Description: partial 16S ribosomal RNA
Rfam family: Bacterial small subunit ribosomal RNA
Source: RNAcentral